CAGCAGCCGCGGGAAUACGUAGGGUGCAAGCGUUAAUCGGAAUUACUGGGCGUAAAGCGUGCGCAGGCGGUUUGUUAAGACAGAUGUGAAAUCCCCGGGCUCAACCUGGGAACUGCAUUUGUGACUGGCAAGCUAGAGUAUGGCAGAGGGGGGUGGAAUUCCGCGUGUAGCAGUGAAAUGCGUAGAUAUGCGGAGGAACACCGAUGGCGAAGGCGGCCCCCUGGACAAAGACUGACGCUCAGGUGCGAAAGCGUGGGGAGCAAACAGGAUUAGAUACCCCAGUAGUCCCUGUCUCUUAUAC
This 301-nucleotide ribosomal RNA is filed under the name uncultured bacterium. Its description in RNAcentral is "partial 16S ribosomal RNA". It matches the Rfam family "Bacterial small subunit ribosomal RNA", at positions 509 to 807 of the family's 1533-position model. The record is from RNAcentral.